GGCAUGCCUAACACAUGCAAGUCGAACGGGGGCAGCAAUGCCCUAGUGGCGGACGGGUGAGGAAUACGUAGGAACCGGCCCACGAGUGGGGGACAACCUGGGGAAACCCAGGCUAAUACCGCAUACGCUCGCGAGAGGAAAGCGGGGGACCUUCGGGCCUCGCGCUGGUGGACGGGCCUACGUCCGAUUAGCUUGUUGGUGGGGUAAAAGCCUACCAAGGCGACGAUCGGUAGCUGGUCUGAGAGGAUGAUCAGCCACACUGGGACUGAGACACGGCCCAGACUCCUACGGGAGGCAGCAGUGGGGAAUAUUGGACAAUGGGCGCAAGCCUGAUCCAGCAAUGCCGCGUGGGUGAAGAAGGCCUGCGGGUUGUAAAGCCCUUUAAGCGGGGAGGAAAGCCGGGGCGUGAAUAACGCCUCAGGGUGACGUUACCCGCAGAAUAAGCACCGGCUAACUCCGUGCCAGCAGCCGCGGUAAUAC
This 480-nucleotide ribosomal RNA is filed under the name uncultured bacterium. Its description in RNAcentral is "bacterial SSU rRNA". It matches the Rfam family "Bacterial small subunit ribosomal RNA", at positions 41 to 526 of the family's 1533-position model. The record is from RNAcentral.